Phascolarctos cinereus (koala) is the source of this 234-nucleotide non-coding RNA. NCBI's taxonomy places the organism in Eukaryota, Metazoa, Chordata, Mammalia, Diprotodontia, Phascolarctidae. The record is from RefSeq and is a predicted model, not a curated record.
CAAGGAUGUUCAUGCAGAAGGAAGCUACAAAGGAGUAUGCUUUAUCAUUCCAGGAAUCUCAAAGGUAAUAGGGAGCCACUGGAGUUUUUUGAGUGGGAAGUGGGCGUGACGUGGAUGGAUCUGAACUUCAGAAAAAUAAAUUUGGUGGCUGAAUGAAGAAUGCUCAGUCCCAGAGUGAGAAGUCCCAAAAUGAGUGGAUACAUCAAAGUCCAGUGGCAAGACAAAAGUCAGGAC